RNAcentral lists this ribosomal RNA (241 nucleotides) under uncultured bacterium. RNAcentral describes it as "partial 16S ribosomal RNA". It matches the Rfam family "Bacterial small subunit ribosomal RNA", at positions 15 to 244 of the family's 1533-position model. The record is from RNAcentral.
GAUCAUGGCUCAGGAUGAACGCUAGCUACAGGCUUAACACAUGCAAGUCGGGGGGAAACGAUAUUGGAAGCUUGCUUCCGAUAGGCGUCGACCGGCGCACGGGUGAGUAACGCGUAUCCAACCUGCCCACCACUUGGGGGAUAACCUUGCGAAAGUAAGACUAAUACCCAAUGAUAUCUCUAGAAGACAUCUGAAAGAGAUUAAAGAUUUAUCGGUGAUGGAUGGGGAUGCGUCUGAUUAG